AUAAUGUUGACUGGAGAUCUGUCUGCAUAAGUUCUAUUGUUGCGAGAGUCAGAUCACUUUCAGGAAAGUCUAAUCCAACGCCACAAGGAUCCAUGGGCUGGGAGAAGAAACUGUGGAGACUUCUCACCUGGAGCUUUGGGAGAAGCCAAUAAGGUAAUUCUUCGAAGUGUUGUAAUGGCUUCCAUCAGCUGCUUACAGUGCAUAAAAUUGAUGUAGAGAAGAAAACAGUUUAGUCAAGCAUAAGCUUGGGCUAAUGCCAGCAGUAAGGCGUGUGUCCUAAAG
Molecule: long non-coding RNA, 282 nt
Organism: Gallus gallus (chicken)
Lineage: Eukaryota; Metazoa; Chordata; Aves; Galliformes; Phasianidae
Source: Ensembl